This 28-nucleotide small RNA is filed under the name Bombyx mori (domestic silkworm). RNAcentral's name for it is "ovarian small RNA-13740". The record is from RNAcentral. Lineage: Eukaryota; Metazoa; Arthropoda; Insecta; Lepidoptera; Bombycidae.
CCCUGACUACUGGCGGAUUGCUGUGCCC